RNAcentral lists this ribosomal RNA (879 nucleotides) under uncultured organism. RNAcentral describes it as "bacterial SSU rRNA". It matches the Rfam family "Bacterial small subunit ribosomal RNA", at positions 23 to 888 of the family's 1533-position model. The record is from RNAcentral.
CUCAGGACGAACGUUGGCGGCGUGCUUAACACAUGCAAGUCUGCGAGAAAGUUAUAGCAAUAUAGCGAGUAAAGCGGCGAAAGGGUGCGUAACGCGUAAGCAACUUGCCCAUAGGAUGGGGAUAACGUCGAGAAAUCGGCGCUAAUACCCAAUAAUGCAGCGGCAUCGCAUGAUGAUGUUGUUAAAGGUCGCUUCGGUGGCGCCUAUGGAUGGGCUUGCGUCUGAUUAGUUAGUUGGCGAGGUAACGGCUCACCAAGACGACGAUCAGUAGCUGGUCUGAGAGGAUGAUCAGCCACACUGGAACUGAGACACGGUCCAGACUCCUACGGGAGGCAGCAGUGAGGAAUAUUGGGCAAUGCCCGCAAGGGUGACCCAGCAACGCCGCGUGGAGGACGACAGCCGUAAGGUUGUAAACUCCUGUUCGGGGGGACGAAUAACCGUCGUUUGCAAAGGCGACGGCUUGACGGUACCCUCAGAGAAAGCCCCGGCUAACUACGUGCCAGCAGCCGCGGUAAUACGUAGGGGGCAAACGUUGUCCGGAUUUACUGGGUGUAAAGGGCGCGCAGGCGGGUCGGUCAGUCAGAGGUGAAAGCCCACAGCUUAACUGUGGAACUGCCUUUGAUACUGCCGAUCUUGAGUGCGGGAGAGAGAAGCGGAAUUCCAGGUGUAGUGGUGAAAUACGUAGAUAUCUGGAAGAACACCGGUUGCGAAGGCGGCUUCUUGGACCGACACUGACGCUGAGGCGCGAAAGCGUGGGGAGCGAACAGGAUUAGAUACCCUGGUAGUCCACGCUGUAAACGAUGAAUGUUAGAUGUCGGGGGAUUUUUCCUUCGGCGUCAAAGUUAACGCAUUACACAUUCCACCUGGGAAGUACGAUCG